This 253-nucleotide ribosomal RNA is filed under the name uncultured bacterium. RNAcentral's name for it is "partial 16S ribosomal RNA". It matches the Rfam family "Bacterial small subunit ribosomal RNA", at positions 524 to 776 of the family's 1533-position model. The record is from RNAcentral.
UACGGAAAGUGCAAACGUUGCUCGGAAUCAUUGGGCGUAAAGCGCACGUAGGUGGCCUGUUAAGUCGGGUGUGAAAUCCCUGGGCUCAACCCAGGAAAUGCACUCGAAACUGGCAGGCUUGAGUACUGAAGAGGGUCGCGGAAUUCCCGGUGUAGAGGUGAAAUUCGUAGAUAUCGGGAGGAACACCAGUGGCGAAGGCGGCGACCUGGGCAGAUACUGACACUGAGGUGCGAAAGCGUGGGGAGCAAACAGG